CGAGCACGCGCGUGUGGCAUAUCAAUAAGCGGAGGAAAAGAAACUAACAAGGAUUCCCUUAGUAACGGCGAGUGAAGCGGGAAGAGCUCAAAUUUGAAAUCUUCAAGGUUCUACCUUGACGAAUUGUAGUUUAUAGAAGUGUUUUCUGUUAGUAGAGUGGCAAAAGUUCUUUGGAAUAGGACAUCAUAGAGGGUGAGAAUCCCGUAUUUGGUCAUUCUUUCUAGCUUUGUGAUACACUUUCAACGAGUCGGAUUGUUUGGGAAUGCAGUCCAAAAUGGGUGGUAAAUUUCAUCUAAAGCUAAAUAUUGGCGAGAGACCGAUAGCGAACAAGUACCGUGAGGGAAAGAUGAAAAGAACUUUGAAAAGAGAGUUAAACAGUACGUGAAAUUGUCAAAAGGGAAGCGUUUGACACCAGUGUUGUUUUUCCGAAAAUCAAUUACGAAUGUUUUAUUUUUGAGAAGUUAUGACUUCAUCGGCUUGCUUCUCUCUUUAUGAAACUUUCUUAAUGCACUUUUCGGUUAACAAGUCAACAUCAAUUUCUUUUGUUGUAAAAGGGUAUGAGGAAGGUGGCUUUCUUUUCGGAGAAAGUGUUUAUAGCCUUGUACCUCUGCAAUCGGAGAGAUUGAGGUCUGCAGCGUAGAUCCUUCGGGGUUAGAUACAUUUGUGCUAAGUUAUAGCUUUUCAUAGACAACUUGUUGACUAUGUUUAGUCUUGUAGCUUACUCGCUGAUGCUAUUUUACCUACGCUUAGGAUGUUGAGUAGCGACAUACGCAC
This 774-nucleotide ribosomal RNA is filed under the name uncultured Neocallimastigales. Its description in RNAcentral is "partial large subunit ribosomal RNA". It matches the Rfam family "Eukaryotic large subunit ribosomal RNA", at positions 19 to 649 of the family's 3401-position model. Lineage: Eukaryota; Fungi; Neocallimastigomycota; Neocallimastigomycetes; Neocallimastigales. The record is from RNAcentral.